Long non-coding RNA from Apus apus (common swift), 8399 nucleotides. RefSeq lists it as uncharacterized. The transcript has 2 exons. The record is from RefSeq and is a predicted model, not a curated record. NCBI's taxonomy places the organism in Eukaryota, Metazoa, Chordata, Aves, Apodiformes, Apodidae.
UACCUGGCUGCCGCCGCCGGGCACCGCGGCCGGCCCGGAGCCGGGGCCGGGCGGGCUCCGCGGGGGUCCCGGCCGGCGCCGGGCCAGGGGCGUGUGAAGCCGGGCAGCUCCGUGCUGAGGGGGAGACGAGGCUUCCUGCCCUGACGAGGAGGGCAAAAUUCAGCUCCUGAUCUCUACUAACUACAAAGAGUGACAAGGACCAUCCAUAUUCCACCUCCUAGAUACCUCCUCUUAAUACUAUGUGUAUCACUACUGCUGGCAGCUGAGGGGAGGAAAAGAAGCUUUCUAGAAUGUAAAAUGACCAAGAAAGGAAAAAAAAAGAAAUAUACCAUAGAACAUAAUGCAAAGAGCCCAGAAAACUGAAUGAAACCUGCUUGUGUUGCCGUUGAUGAGAUUAGCACAGAGGCUUCCAAGCAUAUAAAACUGAAAAACACAUUAGAAGAGAUCUUCAGCCUAAGAAAAAUGUCCUGGACAGAGCAGUUCCAGCUUUGACUAAGAAAAACAUUCUCCAAAAUCUCAAAUAAUACCAUAUGGAAAUAUAAUGAGUAUUUAACAUUAAUAAUCACCAAGAAUUCAUUCGUGUUCACAAGGAAAGUCCUACUUAAAAAUGAAAGCACAAUACCUAAAUUAUAUAAUGAAGUCUCCAAAGCAACCCCUUGGCCUUAUACCAAGCUCUGCCAAAAGGAAAUGCACUUGGGACACCGACUGAGUUUCACAGCUAGAGGAGCUGUUCAGGAAAUGCCUGGAACUGAUUGAAGAUGGUGAAUUUCACCAGAAAAGAAGAGGUCAAACUAAGACACAAAUUUAUAUGUGGGUGAAAGAUCCAGGUAGCAAUGACCGACAUACUAUUGUAAACAGUACUGGAAACAGUUUCCAAUCAAUACUGCCAGAAACAAGUAAAAAAUUCCCAGCAUUUAAACAAAAUUAAAAUGCAAGGCAACACUGCAUGAAAUACUUGAAUCAUAUCUCUGAAAUAUUUAUUGCAAAAAUGUUCAAUAAUGUGCACUGCCUCCAAAAGGAGGUUGCUUACCAAUAGCUCAGAUUCUUCAGGGUAUGCUGUCUGCAGGUAUACUGCCACUCCCAGUGUACAAAUGCCACAAGCAUUCAAGCUUGGAGAUGUUUUUCACAUUUUAAACUCCUGCAGAACAAGUGUAUAUAGGGUAAUAUUCAGGAAUGUUGAAAACAGUUUGUUCACAUACUCUUAAUUUCUCUCAGUUGCAGAAUUGGCCAAUAUGCAAGGACUCUUAAGGAAGCAGAGAUGGAGGGUGGAUGUUUAGAACUCCAUUUCUUAUAAGCAAUUCCGUCUAGAGAAUGGUUGAUAGAUGCUCUCAUCCAUACUCUGUGAGCUGUGCCUCACUUCUAGUUUAUGGUGGCAUUUUCAAGUGAUAAACAGCUUUAUAGUUUUCUGUCAAAUGCAACAACACAUCUCUGGCUUGAUGCCUGAUAAAGGUGUGGAAAUAAUGGAGGUACCUAGGAAGGAGGUAGUCUUUAACCAGUCUGCAGGAGAUAGAUGGGCCUCUGACAGAGUGCUCCUGAGCAGUAAUGGCAGAUCUACCUUAGCAGUCUUGGAACAGAUCCUGACACAGCCCUUUAUCUGGGGAAGCAGUUUCUAGGGGGAGGAGGGAGCUGUGCCUUCAUGUCUUUAGACAAGCAACAAAACCAGCUGUUGAAAUAAUCAAAAGAGCCACAGUUGCUGGCUGGACUAAUAAUAGCCUAGGCCAGACAGAGAAAUCUGUGAUGAUUUGGCUCAGAUUGGAACACACACACAAAGGCUUCUGCUGGGUUGCUGGGUCCAGAGGAAGAAGGAAACAAAGAGGAGAGUGGGAUGGAACGGGCCCAACCAUUUCAAGUGCAGCAGGAUUUAAAGCCAUGUGGGAAAUUCUUUCCCAAAAGUCAAGGAAUGAAGGUCCUCUUUCGCUUUUCAGCAAAUAAAUGGGUAAAAAUUAUCCAAUAUAAUUAAAAGAAGAAGAAAAGCACAUUUAGAAGGAAGUUUCAAAUGUUUUAUUAAAAAGCAAAACAAAACAAACAGCAAAAAAAACCCAAAAAGCAGCAGAAUACUUGCCGUAGUCUCAGGUAGUUGAGAGAAACACAUCAGCAUGUCGCAUAUGGGGCUCUAAAGCUCGUCAUGAAGUACAAUGAAUUUGUGUCUUACAAGAAGGGUGAAGGAAAAGUAAUUCCAUUCUUGUACUUUUGUGAGAAUCUCUGCUGUGUACAUGUGCGUAGGAAUAAUAAGACUUUUGUAUGCUUUUCCAAGAAAACAAACCUUACUGUCUCAAAAGUUUGUAAUUUGCUUGUUAAAAUCUGGAAAUUUCUCACUGAAAUUCUACUUUAUCAUAUGCAUAUUUGCUGUAAUAUACAUAGUUGGAAUUUCACAAUGGUAGUGAAUAAGAAGGACACAACUAGGUAAAUGGGUCUUUGUACUUACUCUCUGCUGAAUGCAUACAAUUAGUAACCUUGGCAGUUACUAUUUUUUAAGUAUGUUGUUCUGAUUUGCAUUCCUGGAAAUACCACUUUGUUUGGCCUUGCAAAAAGACACUGUUUUUCAACAAAAAAUAUCAGCUCUAUAGAACUGCUUAAUUGAAGUCGCCCGUGUAGCCUCAAUGUCUAUUCAGGUUCUGCAAUGCAGCUGAAGCCUGCAAUGAAUGUAUCAGUGUUUGGCUGAGAUACAGGAGCCUCAGACCACAAAAGAAUGCAGACAAAGGACUUUUUUUAAAUGAAAAGGAUGAAAAAGAGUGUUUUCAAAAGGGAAAAUGUAGCCUUUGGACACGACAACAUUAUAUUUGUUCUGAGUAAAAAUAAAGGGAGUCUCAUUCAAUAGACGAAUUACAUUGGCAAUAUAGCUAGUAUAGGAAACUGUCAUUGCUGAGGGCCAAGAUCUGAUAAUUUGAUCUCCAUUUGUGUUCAGCUGGUCAGAUGGGUUUUAGCAUAGUUGGGAGAGUGACAUAUCAGGAGCCUGCAGGCUUCCUGAAAUGUGUCCAGCUAAGCAUGGGUUCCCCUUGCAUUGUUACAACUACUGGUGGCUCCCAGGGUAUCAGUGUGAUGACAGUCUAAAGGUAGGUGGGUUUAUGAUGAGUGAAGAUGAUUAUAAUAGAAGAUUCUGUAUUUCCUUGAAUAAGGACCUUUCUCCAUAUUCCACCUCCUGAAUACCUCCUCUUAAUACUAUGUAUUUCACUAUUGGUGGGGAGGAAAUCACACAAAAUUAGGGAUUUUGAGCGUGCUCUCAAAAAAAAUGAGAAGGAUCUCUGCAUGAAAGCAGAAAACCCUGUAAUUUCAAAAGACCGAAAAUUGGCAGUCAAAUGGGGAAAACCUAUUCAGAUUCUUAAGGUUAUGAGUUUUUAUGUUAGUUUUACAAAUAAUUUUGUUACUUUUGCUGUUUCCCAACUUUUGUGGACUAAAAAGCACUCUUUCCAUUCCUGUCCUGUUAACAAAGAUCUCUGAACAGUAUUUUUCUCCUUUAUUAGUAUUGUCACUCACAAGGUAAUAAAUACAUCUGUUUUUACUGCCUUAAUGAUUAAAAAGAAUAUGGAAAAGAUGCAGAAAAAUGUGAGGAAAUAAGGAAGGGAAAAGAGCUGGAUUAGAGGUAAAUACUUCCUAGAAAGAGAGAUUAUCAAGGACAAACUGAUUUGUAGUUUGAGUCCUGAAGUAUUUACAUUUACUCUGUAACAACAGAGUUAUCAGUGGAGAGUGAGCUGACAACAGCAUGAUGUAAGAAGUAUUAUCAUAUUGGACAUGUGUGAGUCUAAUACCUAAGAAUACACAGUGCUAUCCCUAGGACAAGACUCCAGCUUUUCUGUUGCAGUUUGCGCUUCAGUACAAAAAGCUGACAAGGAAAACACUUACGGAAGACAGCAGAGUCCUAAAGAAUUUUCAGAAGGUAAAGGGGCCAUAACUUUGUCCACUGCAGUAAAUUAAAAAUUUUCUCAUAGUACUGAAAGUAGUUACAGAUAUGAGUAGCUCUCAUUUUGUUUUCUUCCGUCCUUCUGCCAUGAAAUGCCUGUAAACUGCCUUUCACUGGAAAUAUAUAUGACAUACAGAUGGAUAAUCUACAUAGUUCAAUACAAAAAUUUGCAGUCUUCUGGGUUUUUUUGAGGGCUUUAUAUUGGUUUUUGGUUAGUUCGUUGGUUGGCUUUUUACCAUGGCACCACCUGUGAGCAGGUAGGCAUUCUGCCUUUUUUUUGGUGCUGAACAUUGAAACAGUUCAUGCUUACCAGAAGAGUUCAUAAAGGUCCAUUAAUAUUCAGCAAUAGGAUAAUUCUGCAAUUAUAUUAUUGUAUGAUAAUUACUAAUUUGUGAGUUCAGUGCUGAAAAGUUUAAUACUAAUGAGGUUGUAACAGUCUAGUUAUAUUCAUGUGUGUUUACUAAAUGGAAAAGCACUUUUCUAUCGUGGGCAUUUUUCAGAAAAUCAAAAUAGACUAUUAGAAACCAAGUAUUUUGAGCUUCCAACUUUAAAAAAAUUAUUUUGAUCUGUUACAGGCAUUUUCUUUCAGUCAUACUUACAACAACACACAGCUUCUUAAAGUAAUUUGCAUUUUAUAAAAGCUGAAGAAUGGAAAAACAAUUUAAUAGCUUUGAUCGAGUACUUGGCCAGGACCCUUGACAAAUUUUGGAUGACAUCUGCUUGUUUCAAGCCAGCCAGCCAGCCAUGAUGCAAGAUACAGGAGUGUUUCUCAGACAUUUAUUUUUCAAUUUAUCUGAUAAGAAGGAAAGACAUGCAUACCUCAGUAGCAAUUAAGGGGAAAAAAAAAAAUCUAUAUAAUGGUAUCAGUCCCAUCUUUUUCAAUUUUAUUCCACAACCUUUAUCUUAAUCACCAAAUGUCAGUAGAGGAAUAGAUGAUGACAAGCAUCCUCAUCAUCAGGGCCUCCAUACUGGCUUUAAGGAGGCUUAAGGCUUUAAAUCAAGUAAGGGGUUUAUGUAUUUCACACUCAUGGUUGCAAGAAUCUAUUUUGCUAGGCUUUUAGGGGUCCUGCACUCCAGUUAUACAGACUUACUUAAACAACUGUAGUUUCUGAGCUGACAGCUCCCAAGUAACUAAGGAGAUGCCUACACUAUUUAUACAGAAGAAAAACUGAGCUGCAGAACUGUUCUUUUUUUGCUGACUCCCAAACAAAGUUUAAUGCUAUUUAUAUGUUUCUACUACAAAGCAAUUUGGUGUUUUUAGUGUCACUGGCCUCUUGCUAAACUCUUUGAUGAGUUUUGUUAGCAGUAUAGUUCAACAAUGGAGGCCUUAUGCUAUUUUAUUACUGCCUUAUUACUUUGAAUAUACAUAUGCACACACAUUCACUGGGUUCAGAUUUUUUUUCAGCAUUCACAGAGUGUAAUCACAGGAUUGUGACAUUCAAAAGAAGAUCCAUGUGAUUAAAAAAAUACAAACUUAAAGUAUAUAUGUGGUGGCACAACAGCAAGCACAUUUCCUCUUUGUCAGUUACAAAAGUGAAAAACAAAUGUCUACCAGAUGCCUGGAGUUCACAGUGAGGUCUGGACCAAUGAAGGUUAGCAGCAAUUUUGGAAGAUACUGUUGGCAAAAUCCUGAUCUGGAUGGACAGUUUCUCACAUAAAAUCCACAUUUUGCCUCUCAGCUUUGCACUAACCUGUUUCUGAGUGAGAUCUCUACGCAAUAAUUCUCAGCUGGAAACUGAAGCAACUCAGAUUUUUCCCUAAUGCAGGAUUCUUAAACCUUUUUGCACUUCCCUUACAUCUUCUUUUCUGUAGCAUUUUACAUGGUUAGUCUCUCCUACUCUUUCCCAAUGCAUAUAUAUUGUAACUCCUCUAGCCUGCCCCAAAUCUCUGCCUUCCUCAGACUGAAGCUAUUCAUACUGUUUAUUCUUCACUAUGUUUAUUCCUUCCCAAAGAAACUGCACUGUUCCUCACAGAGAAACAACCCAUUCAGUUCAAAUCUUACAGCUGCUUUUAGCAAUUUCAUUAACUCAAAGGAAAUGCCACAUUCUUCAAGGGGCUGCUGAACAGAAAGCGUUAGGAGUGUGGAAAACACGAAAGGCAGAGAAAAGCCUGCAUAGAAUUUCCUGGGGUUUUACACCAUGGGAGGAGGUAUGGGCUAUUACUCCUCUUUCUGAAAAAGUCCUUGCUCCAAUUUACAUGGGGUUUUUUGGUUGUUUCUAAGGAGAGGAAGUAGCAUCUAGGAAUUACUAAGGUAAAAAGGAUUCCAGACACACUCACCUGUUCUUUCUACACUCUUUCUGGUUGUUCCCAUUGGCUAACUAAAUUGUCUUUAUGGUCAAAAUCCCCUAAAUGCUUAUCUCAGGUUAACUUUAUCAGCUCGGGAACUACUCACAGAGAAAAAUCUUUUAUAUCUACUGUGAACUCUCUUCCUCCUGAUGCUGUCUAAAUGCCAUAAGUUGUUCAAAGGAUCUCUACAGUGUUCAAUUCCCAAUCAGUAAGAGUUCAAUGGUCUGGAAAAUAAGGAAGAGAGUGUCAGAAUCAGUUUCUGGGAUGCUUUCACAAAAGCUGUCUAUUCAGCACUGUGCUGGAGCCAGGAACAACCUAUCAGGCCUGAAGCAGCUCUCUCAGAGACAGCUUUAUUCCACAAAAUCUUCAGGGUUGUAAACACAGCCUUUAUAUUCUGAAAAUCCACAGAUGUUGUCAUGCCCCGAAUUUGUAUCUGGACAAUAAUUUCAAGCUUCCUUCAAGUUGACAGAAAGCAAGUGAGAAGUUCUCAUUUAACUGAAAAUACAAACAAAACACAGUUUUUAAUAUAGAUUUCAGAUACAAAAUUUACAAUACACCCCUCUUUUGCCCAGAUUGAAGCAGUGCAUACAAAGGAGGUAAGAUUGAGUUAGUCUCUACUCGGGGUUUCAUCUGUGCAGUAACAUAUGGAAUUUUCUACUGUUGAUAGCUCUGGCAUGCACAAUUAUUAUUGCCAAAGCAAUGAUUUAAGACUGAGAAAGGAAUGCAAAAAUUUGCAAAAGAAGAAUGUAAAAUAUGUAGAUAAAAUGGUGGUCCCAUCUCACACAAUUACAGAAAAUACAGCUUUCUAAGGGGAUUAAUGUGGGUUUGUUUUCUAGUCCCAGGGCAAGACAUUAGAAACGUUUAUAGCAAAAGAGAAAACAUAUAUUGAGAAUUUCUGGAAUAAUUGUCCCUUGUUUUACUGUGGUGCUUGCGCUAGCUGAAUGUUGAUAUACUGCUGCAGCACUAGGGCUCAUCCUUCUUUGGAUUAGCACGAAAGAAAAUGCAUUAGUUUGACACUUGUAGUAAAUGAGCCUUGAGCUUUUUCUGUUUUAUUCAUGGCUGGUUAGGUGUGCAGGUCACAUUCCAGCCUCAUUAGUGAAUGGUGGCAACUAAAGUCUGGUUAUUAAUUCUCCAGCUUGCAAGUUUUAGUAGCUGAAGGCCAAUAAUAUUGAAAUAACAUUGGCUGAACCAGAGAUUUCUGAGUCUAGCAGGACUUUUUGUUUCUUGAUGAAAAAUGUCUUGUUGAAAAAAAGUACCUGCUUAGUGCUAGACAGGUUUACAUAAGCUGACAUUACACCUGUUGUGUUAACAACUGGAAAAAUUACACGCUUGAAUGUUUCCAUUCUGAUUCUUCUUUUGGUAUUUGAUCAAGACUUCUGAACAUUUACAGGCCCAAUUUUUCUCUGGAAAGUUUGAAAACAGAUUUACUGAAAUAAAAGAUUGAAAUUACAUUUCCUGUUCUCCCCACAACGUGAAUUUUUGCCUUAGUUCAAUGGUUCUUGCUAACUUAAAAUACCAAAAUAUCUUUUAUUUCCAGGAUGUAAUCUCCAUCUUAUGUACUCUGAAAUACUUGAACAUUCUGCAUCUUCUACUAGCAGAAAAAUCAUAUUAAUUCUGCACCAUUACAAGGUCAAAAAAUUUCAGGGGAUGAUCACAAACUUUCAUUAUUUUCUUAUGUAUGACAAAAAUUAUAUUCAAAGGGGACAUGAAAGACAGUCAUCAUUGUUAAGAUAUUUCUAAUGUGCUCAUCAUCAGACUACUCUGGAAUGUUAAUGAAAUUAACUGAUGCUUAAUUCAAUUAAUACACUUGUUUCAUCCUUCUAAUUACAAUAGCACAACUUUUGUUUGUAUCACACAUUUGCAUGUCUUUGCAUAUACAUGAUUAUUCCCAUUUCUGUUAUUAACACAGACACAAUUUAUAGAAGUAAGCCAAGAUUGACUUUUGGCCCUUGUAAUACAAUUAAAGUCUAGAACUAGAUAAAAUAAAACAUUAUGUUGCAUGAAAGGAAAGCAUCUGUUCUCUCCUGUAAUUACAACUAAAAUGUAAAGAUGAUUUUGUAUGCCAGUUUUCAGUCUCUUAAUUAUCUUGUGAAUGCUAUUAACACUUUUUUUUUUGUAUCCUAAAAUUUAACCUUCUCUUUUCAAAACUGCUGUAAAAUUAGCAUUGUGGCUUACCUUUCAAUUUAAAAUUAAAUUCUUGGAAAAUCCACUGAAA